GAUGAACGCUGGCGGCGUGCCUAAUACAUGCAAGUCGAGCGAACAGACGAGGAGCUUACUCCUCUGACGUUAGCGGCGGACGGGUGAGUAACACGUGGAUAACCUACCUAUAAGACUGGGAUAACUUCGGGAAACCGGAGCUAAUACCGGAUAACAUGUUGAACCGCAUGGUUCGACAGUGAAAGACGGUCUUGCUGUCACUUAUAGAUGGAUCCGCGUCGCAUUAGCUAGUUGGUAAGGUAACGGCUUACCAAGGCAACGAUGCGUAGCCGACCUGAGAGGGUGAUCGGCCACACUGGAACUGAGACACGGUCCAGACUCCUACGGGAGGCAGCAGUAGGGAAUCUUCCGCAAUGGGCGAAAGCCUGACGGAGCAACGCCGCGUGAGUGAAGAAGGUCUUCGGAUCGUAAAACUCUGUUAUUAGGGAAGAACAAAUGUGUAAGUAACUAUGCACGUCUUGACGGUACCUAAUCAGAAAGCCACGGCUAACUACGUG
RNAcentral lists this ribosomal RNA (497 nucleotides) under uncultured bacterium. Its description in RNAcentral is "partial 16S ribosomal RNA". It matches the Rfam family "Bacterial small subunit ribosomal RNA", at positions 28 to 507 of the family's 1533-position model. The record is from RNAcentral.